This is a small nucleolar RNA of Cololabis saira (Pacific saury), 66 nucleotides long. RefSeq annotates it as small nucleolar RNA SNORD42. NCBI's taxonomy places the organism in Eukaryota, Metazoa, Chordata, Actinopteri, Beloniformes, Belonidae. The transcript has a single exon. The record is from RefSeq and is a predicted model, not a curated record.
GUGCAUAUGAUGUAAAAUUAUUUGGGCUGAAUCUUUGUGAUGCAUUCAAAGGAACCACUGAUGCCA